Molecule: ribosomal RNA, 468 nt
Filed under: uncultured bacterium
Lineage: Bacteria
Description: partial 16S ribosomal RNA
Rfam family: Bacterial small subunit ribosomal RNA
Source: RNAcentral
GACGAACGCUGGCGGCGUGCUUAACACAUGCAAGUCGAACGGAAAGGCCCUGCUUUUGUGGGGUGCUCGAGUGGCGAACGGGUGAGUAACACGUGAGUAACCUGCCCUUGACUUUGGGAUAACUUCAGGAAACUGGGGCUAAUACCGGAUAGGAGCUCCUGCUGCAUGGUGGGGGUUGGAAAGUUUCGGCGGUUGGGGAUGGACUCGCGGCUUAUCAGCUUGUUGGUGGGGUAGUGGCUUACCAAGGCUUUGACGGGUCGCCGGCCUGGGAGGGUGACCGGCGACAUGGGGACUGAGAUACGGCCCAGACGCCUACGGGAGGCAGCAGUGGGGAAUAUUGCACAAUGGGCGGAAGCCUGAUGCAGCAACGCCGCGUGCGGGAUGACGGCCUUCGGGUUGUAAACCGCUUUCGCCUGUGACGAAGCGUGAGUGACGGUAAUGGGUAAAGAAGCACCGGCUAACUACGUG